AGGGGCGGCCUAAACUGCAGUCGAGCGAUCACUGGGAGCUUGCUCCUGGUGGUUAGCGGCGGACGGGUGAUUAACACGUGGGCAACCUGCCUGUAAGACUGGGAUAACUUCGGGAAACCGGAGCUAAUACCGGAUAAUUUCUUCCCUCGCAUGAGGGAAGGUUGAAAGUCGGUUUCGGCUGACACUUACAGAUGGGCCCGCGGCGCAUUAGCUAGUUGGUGAGGUAACGGCUCACCAAGGCGACGAUGCGUAGCCGACCUGAGAGGGUGAUCGGCCACACUGGGACUGAGACACGGCCCAGACUCCUACGGGAGGCAGCAGUAGGGAAUCUUCCACAAUGGACGAAAGUCUGAUGGAGCAACGCCGCGUGAGCGAUGAAGGCCUUCGGGUCGUAAAGCUCUGUUGUCAGGGAAGAACAAGUAUCGGAGUAACUGCCGGUACCUUGACGGUACCUGACCAGAAAGCCACGGCUAACUACGUGCCAGCAGCCGCGGUAAUACGUAGGUGGCAAGCGUUGUCU
This 520-nucleotide ribosomal RNA is filed under the name Bacillus sp. (in: firmicutes). RNAcentral's name for it is "bacterial SSU rRNA". It matches the Rfam family "Bacterial small subunit ribosomal RNA", at positions 38 to 545 of the family's 1533-position model. Lineage: Bacteria; Bacillati; Bacillota; Bacilli; Caryophanales; Bacillaceae. The record is from RNAcentral.